Molecule: ribosomal RNA, 253 nt
Filed under: uncultured bacterium
Lineage: Bacteria
Description: partial 16S ribosomal RNA
Rfam family: Bacterial small subunit ribosomal RNA
Source: RNAcentral
UACGUAGGGUGCGAGCGUUAAUCGGAAUUACUGGGCGUAAAGCGUGCGCAGGCGGUUUUGUAAGUCUGAUGUGAAAUCCCCGGGCUCAACCUGGGAAUUGCAUUGGAGACUGCAAGGCUAGAAUCUGGCAGAGGGGGGUAGAAUUCCACGUGUAGCAGUGAAAUGCGUAGAGAUGUGGAGGAACACCGAUGGCGAAGGCAGCCCCCUGGGAUGUGACUGACGCUCAUGUACGAAAGCGUGGGGAGCAAACAGG